This 468-nucleotide ribosomal RNA is filed under the name uncultured bacterium. RNAcentral describes it as "partial 16S ribosomal RNA". It matches the Rfam family "Bacterial small subunit ribosomal RNA", at positions 28 to 507 of the family's 1533-position model. The record is from RNAcentral.
GACGAACGCUGGCGGCGUGCUUAACACAUGCAAGUCGAACGGAAAGGCCCUGCUUUUGUGGGGUGCUCGAGUGGCGAACGGGUGAGUAACACGUGAGUAACCUGCCCUUGACUUUGGGAUAACUUCAGGAAACUGGGGCUAAUACCGGAUAGGAGCUCCUGCUGCAUGGUGGGGGUUGGAAAGUUUCGGCGGUUGGGGAUGGACUCGCGGCUUAUCAGCUUGUUGGUGGGGUAGUGGCUUACCAAGGCUUUGACGGGUAGCCGGCCUGGGAGGGUGACCGGCCACAUUGGGACUGAGAUACGGCCCAGACUCCUACGGGAGGCAGCAGUGGGGAAUAUUGCACAAUGGGCGGAAGCAUGAUGCAGCAACGCCGCGUGCGGGAUGACGGCCUUCGGGUUGUAAUCCGCUUUCGCCUGUGACGAAGCGUGAGUGACGGUAAUGGGUAAAGAAGCACCGGCUAACUACGUG